ACUCCUACGGGAGGCAGCAGUCGAGGAUCAUUCGCAAUGCGCGAAAGCGUGACGAUGCGACGCUGCGUGGAGGAUGACAGCCUUAGGGUUGUAAACUCCUGUCAUGAGGGAAAAAUAGCCAUAGGGUUAAUAGCCUUAAGGUAUGAUGGUACCUCAAGAGGAAGCCACGGCUAACUCUGUGCCAGCAGCCGCGGUAAUACAGAGGUGGCGAGCGUUGUUCGGAUUUACUGGGCGUAAAGGGUGCGUAGGUGGUAAUGUAUGUCGGAUGUGAAAUCCCGAGGCUCAACUUCGGAAUUGCAUUCGAAACUGCAUAACUUGAGUACAGGAUGGGAGAGCGGAAUUCUUGGUGUAGCGGUGAAAUGCGUUGAUAUCAAGAAGAACACCGGAGGCGAAGGCGGCUCUCUGGAAUGUUACUGACACUGAGGCACGAAAGCUGGGGGAGCGAACAGGAUUAGAUACCCUGGUAGUCCCAGCCGUAAACGGUGCACACUUGGUGUUGGCGGUAUUGACCCCGCCAGUGCCGGAGCUAACGCGUUAAGUGUGCCGCCUGGGGAGUACGGCCGCAAGGCUAAAACUCAAAGAAAUUGACGGGGGCCCGCACAAGCGGAGGAGCAUGUGGCUUAAUUCGAUGCAACGCGAAGAACCUUACCAGGGCUUGACAUGGGGACCCUUCGGGGGUGGGUACGAAAGUACCCUUUACCAUCACAGGUGCUGCAUGGCUGUCGUCAGUUCGUGCCGUGAGGUGUUGGGUUAAGUCCCGCAACGAACGCAACCCCUGUGGUUAGUUGCCACCGCCGGUGAUAAGCCGGCGAGCACUCUAGCCAGACUGCCCGUGCAAGCGGGAGGAAGGUGGGGGACGACGUCAAGUCAGUAUGGCCCUUACGCCC
This 887-nucleotide ribosomal RNA is filed under the name uncultured Verrucomicrobiales bacterium. RNAcentral describes it as "bacterial SSU rRNA". It matches the Rfam family "Bacterial small subunit ribosomal RNA", at positions 335 to 1209 of the family's 1533-position model. The record is from RNAcentral. Lineage: Bacteria; Pseudomonadati; Verrucomicrobiota; Verrucomicrobiia; Verrucomicrobiales.